AGGGAACCUUCCGCAAUGGGCGAAAGCCUGACGGAGCAAUGCCGCGUGAGUGAUGAAGGUCUUCGGAUCGUAGAACUCUGUUAUUAGGGAAGAACAAAUGUGUAAGUAACUGUGCACGUCUUGACGGUACCUAAUCAGAAAGCCACGGCUAACUACGUGCCAGCAGCCGCGGUAAUACGUAGGUGGCAAGCGUUAUCCGGAAUUAUUGGGCGUAAAGCGCGCGUAAGCGGUUUCUUAAGUCUGAUGUGAAAGCCCACGGCUCAACCGUGGAGGGUCAUUGGAAGCUGGGAAACUUGAGUGCAGAAGAGGAAAGUGGAAUUCCAUGUGUAGCGGUGAAAUGCGCAGAGAUAUGGAGGAACACCAGUGGCGAAGGCGACUUUCUGGUCUGUAACUGACGCUGAUGUGCGAAAGCGUGGGGAUCAAACAGGAUUAGAUACCCUGGUAGUCCACGCCGUAAACGAUGAGUGCUAAGUGUUAGGGGGUUUCCGCCCCUUAGUGCUGCAGCUAACGCAUUAAGCACUCCGCCUGGGGAGUACGACCGCAAGGUUG
RNAcentral lists this ribosomal RNA (549 nucleotides) under uncultured bacterium. RNAcentral describes it as "bacterial SSU rRNA". It matches the Rfam family "Bacterial small subunit ribosomal RNA", at positions 356 to 896 of the family's 1533-position model. The record is from RNAcentral.